Long non-coding RNA from Pelmatolapia mariae (spotted tilapia), 422 nucleotides. RefSeq lists it as uncharacterized. The transcript has 3 exons. The record is from RefSeq and is a predicted model, not a curated record. Lineage: Eukaryota; Metazoa; Chordata; Actinopteri; Cichliformes; Cichlidae.
UCGUGUCUACGCGCAAUUUAUGUAUAGUUGACCAGGAAAUUAAAGCAGCGAUCACUUGGACUAUUCCGCAGCACCCCUCUCACAUUGGUACAUCCCCCCCCCUCCCCCGGUAUUCAUUGUCUUCUACAGUAGAGCGGGACAUUUAAUUUACUCUCAGCGGAAUUGACCGGAGAAGGCAUCAGUUCAUGCACUGCACUGGCCCGCACCACGAUUAGUAUAAGGCACAUUUCACGAAGCAGAACGCAGUCUUCAGAGAUAUCCACGUGAACGCUGUGAUACGUCUGACCUUCAGUCCGAAGAAGAAACUCAGACCAGUCUUAAAAGAAAGCACAAACCAAAUCCCCUGUACACAUAUACGGACUCAGAGGAUGAGCAGCCUACAAAAAAACGGUUUCCCCAGGCCCCUCGAGUGAAAAUACCAG